This 1343-nucleotide ribosomal RNA is filed under the name Campylobacter jejuni. RNAcentral's name for it is "partial 23S ribosomal RNA". It matches the Rfam family "Bacterial large subunit ribosomal RNA", at positions 1563 to 2903 of the family's 2925-position model. Lineage: Bacteria; Pseudomonadati; Campylobacterota; Epsilonproteobacteria; Campylobacterales; Campylobacteraceae. The record is from RNAcentral.
CUUUUUGAAGUCUUCGGAUGGAAAGAAGAACCCCUGAUGCCGUCGAGCCAAGAAAAGUUUCUAAGUUUAGCUAAUGUUGCCCGUACCGUAAACCGACACAGGUGGGUGGGAUGAGUAUUCUAAGGCGCGUGGAAGAACUCUCUUUAAGGAACUCUGCAAAAUAGCACCGUAUCUUCGGUAUAAGGUGUGCCUCCCUUUGUAUUAGGAUUUACUCCGAAAGCAAAGAAGGUUACAACAAAGAGUCCCUCCCGACUGUUUACCAAAAACACAGCACUCUGCUAACUCGUAAGAGGAUGUAUAGGGUGUGACGCCUGCCCGGUGCUCGAAGGUUAAUUGAUGGGGUUAGCAUUAGCGAAGCUCUUGAUCGAAGCCCGAGUAAACGGCGGCCGUAACUAUAACGGUCCUAAGGUAGCGAAAUUCCUUGUCGGUUAAAUACCGACCUGCAUGAAUGGCGUAACGAGAUGGGAGCUGUCUCAAAGAGGGAUCCAGUGAAAUUGUAGUGGAGGUGAAAAUUCCUCCUACCCGCGGCAAGACGGAGAGACCCCGUGGACCUUUACUACAGCUUGACACUGCUAUUUGGAUAAGAAUGUGCAGGAUAGGUGGGAGGCUUUGAGUAUAUGACGCCAGUUGUAUAUGAGCCAUUGUUGAGAUACCACUCUUUCUUAUUUGGGUAGCUAACCAGCUUGAGUUAUCCUCAAGUGGGACAAUGUCUGGUGGGUAGUUUGACUGGGGCGGUCGCCUCCCAAAUAAUAACGGAGGCUUACAAAGGUUGGCUCAUAGCGGUUGGAAAUCGCUAGUAGAGUAUAAAGGUAUAAGCCAGCUUAACUGCAAGACAUACAAGUCAAGCAGAGACGAAAGUCGGUCUUAGUGAUCCGGUGGUUCUGUGUGGAAGGGCCAUCGCUCAAAGGAUAAAAGGUACCCCGGGGAUAACAGGCUGAUCUCCCCCAAGAGCUCACAUCGACGGGGAGGUUUGGCACCUCGAUGUCGGCUCAUCGCAUCCUGGGGCUGGAGCAGGUCCCAAGGGUAUGGCUGUUCGCCAUUUAAAGCGGUACGCGAGCUGGGUUCAGAACGUCGUGAGACAGUUCGGUCCCUAUCUGCCGUGGGCGUAAGAAGAUUGAAGAGAUUUGACCCUAGUACGAGAGGACCGGGUUGAACAAACCACUGGUGUAGCUGUUGUUCUGCCAAGAGCAUCGCAGCGUAGCUAAGUUUGGAAAGGAUAAACGCUGAAAGCAUCUAAGCGUGAAGCCAACUCUAAGAUGAAUCUUCUCUAAGCUCUCUAGAAGACUACUAGUUUGAUAGGCUGGGUGUGUAAUGGAUGAAAGUCCUUUAGCUGACCAGUACUA